This 490-nucleotide ribosomal RNA is filed under the name uncultured bacterium. RNAcentral describes it as "partial 16S ribosomal RNA". It matches the Rfam family "Bacterial small subunit ribosomal RNA", at positions 29 to 507 of the family's 1533-position model. The record is from RNAcentral.
AGUGAACGCUGGCGGUAGGCCUAACACAUGCAAGUCGAACGGCAGCACAGGAGAGCUUGCUCUCUGGGUGGCGAGUGGCGGACGGGUGAGGAAUACAUCGGAAUCUGCCCAGUCGUGGGGGAUAACGUAGGGAAACUUACGCUAAUACCGCAUACGACCUUCGGGUGAAAGAGGGGGAUCGCAAGACCUCUCGCGAUUGGAUGAGCCGAUGUCGGAUUAGCUAGUUGGCGGGGUAAUGGCCCACCAAGGCGACGAUCCGUAGCUGGUCUGAGAGGAUGAUCCGCCCAACCGGAACUGAGACACGGUCCAGAAUCCUAAGGGAGGCAGCAGUUGGGAAUAUUGGACAAUGGGCGGAAGCCUGAUCCCGGCAUACCGCGUGGGUGAAGAAGGCCUUCGGGUUGUAAAGCCCUUUUGUUGGGAAAGAAAUCUUUCAGGCUAAUACCCUGGGAGGAUGACGGUACCCAAAGAAUAAGCACCGGCUAACUUCGUG